Molecule: ribosomal RNA, 593 nt
Filed under: uncultured bacterium
Lineage: Bacteria
Description: bacterial SSU rRNA
Rfam family: Bacterial small subunit ribosomal RNA
Source: RNAcentral
UGGCGGCGUGCCUAACACAUGCAAGUCGAACGAGAAAGUGGAGCAAUCCAUGAGUAAAGUGGCGACCGGGUGAGUAACACGUGACUAACCUACCUCCGAGUGGGGAAUAACUCCGGGAAACCGGGGCUAAUACCGCAUAACAUCGCAAGAUCAAAGCAGCAAUGCGCUUGGAGAGGGGGUCGCGGCUGAUUAGCUAGUUGGCGGGGUAACGGCCCACCAAGGCGAAGAUCGGUAUCCGGCCUGAGAGGGCGCACGGACACACUGGAACUGAAACACGGUCCAGACUCCUACGGGAGGCAGCAGUGGGGAAUUUUGCGCAAUGGGGGAAACCCUGACGCAGCAACGCCGCGUGGAGGAUGAAGCCCUUUGGGGCGUAAACUCCUUUCGACUCGGACGAUAAUGACGGUACGAGUGGAAGAAGCACCGGCUAACUCUGUGCCAGCAGCCGCGGUAAUACAGAGGGUGCGAGCGUUGUUCGGAAUUAUUGGGCGUAAAGGGCGCGUAGGCGGUGCGGUAAGUCACCUGUGAAAUCUCCUGGCUUAACUGGGAGUCUGCAGGCGAAACUACCGUGCUGGAGUGUGGGAAAGGUGCGU